GACGAACCACACAAACGUUAUUCGGAAUUACUGGGCUUAAAGGGUGCGUAGGCGGCGCGGAAAGUUGGGUGUGAAAUCCCUCGGCUCAACCGAGGAACUGCGCUCAAUACUACCGUGCUCGAGGGAGACAGAGGUGAGCGGAACUUAGGGUGGAGCGGUGAAAUGCGUUGAUAUCCUAAGGAACACCCGUGGCGAAAGCGGCUCACUGGGUCUCUUCUGACGCUGAGGCACGAAAGCUAGGGUAGCGAACGGG
RNAcentral lists this ribosomal RNA (253 nucleotides) under uncultured bacterium. RNAcentral's name for it is "partial 16S ribosomal RNA". It matches the Rfam family "Bacterial small subunit ribosomal RNA", at positions 524 to 776 of the family's 1533-position model. The record is from RNAcentral.